CAUCCUUCCUGGUGCUUUUGAUGUCUGUAAUGUGAUGAUAAAACCACUGUCUGCAUUCAAGCCUAUUUGCUCUUUCUUGAUACCCUAUGGCUGUGAUGGAAAUGUUAAGAUAAGUGGGCACCAACAGCUUUUCUGCCUUCCUGCCUUUGCCAAAAGAACAGAAUUGUGGUAUCCCAUCCCUUUUGGCUACCAGAACCCCCCUUUUAAGUGGCUUCUGAUUUUUCAUUCAUGUUUUCUUCCGAGUUGUAUAUAUCCCAGAUGACGAUUUCAUAGAAUCAUCAUAGAAACAGAAUGGUUUGGGUUGGAAGAGACCUUAAAGAUCACCUAAUUCCACUCCCCCUGCCAUGAGCAGGGACACCUUCCAUUAGAAACUUCCAAUAGUUUGCAAGUCAUUUUAAGUGUUCCAUAUUUUUUAGCAAUAAAGCUGGAAGGUGGCUU
Long non-coding RNA from Anas platyrhynchos (mallard), 438 nucleotides. RefSeq lists it as uncharacterized. Lineage: Eukaryota; Metazoa; Chordata; Aves; Anseriformes; Anatidae. The record is from RefSeq and is a predicted model, not a curated record.